GGAAAGACAACAUAGCUCCCCCCCCCAGCCAGAGAAAUAGAUGAAACUCCGAGCAGCGCGUGCGGCUGGGAAGAGCCCGAGAUGGUGGCUUUGGGUUUAGACGGCGCAGUGCUUCUGUAGAAGCCAAGGGGAAUCAGCUGCAGCGAGUUACAAAGGUACAGGAUGGAGGCUGCGCGAUGCCGGAGCAUCCCCAAAUAGCAUUAAACUGUGUCAUGGAUCAGUGUCAUGAUGACGUAUGACACACCACAAGGGAUCAUUAUGAGUGACUGGCAUAAUAGACAUGGAUAGUGGACCAAAGUCUCCUUGACAAUUCCUAGUCGUAUGUCUUGGGGGGAUAGUUUUACAAUCCUGAUCCGUUUAUUUGGAGCCAAUUCAGGGAGAAAGACACAUGAAGCACACGACCGAAUCUUUCUAAGUGGGAUGUAGACGGGCUAAUACGGCAGAAAAGAUUGCAGGGAAUGCUGAAGAGGUCAGCACUAUAGGUGCAGAGCGCUUGGCAAAACACCUGCUCCAUCCAAUUAGGCAGGACGCCCUGCUUUCUCCAUCCAGCCCGGGAGGGAUGCAGCUAUUGCCACGCAUCCCCGCGCUCCCUGCAACCCGCCGCUCCCGGCGUGCGGACAGCCCGGUUGUACCCAUCCGCAUCCGCUCCCACACGUGUGCCCCGCUGUGCAGCGCCCCGAGCCACGCUCUGCUGCUGGCGGGGAAAAAGGGAAAAGUCGCACUGCUGCAGUUCCUUGGAAGAAAGCAGGCAUUUUACAAAGCCAUUAAACCGAGCGAAGCUCAUCCUUCCGUCGUCUCUCACUAUGGGCUGGGAGAGCCCGAGAAUGUGGGGCUGCAGGCGCUGCUUUGUUCGGAGGCAUCUCCAGCUCCAGGUGGAUGUUUGGGUUUCUUGUUCACAGGGCUUUGCCUCUCCUUGCAGGUGUCCCCAGGCUGAAAAUGGGACCCUUGACCCACUGCAAGUUGUGCACUGCUCAAAACCCACCCUGGGGAGGUUCCCCCUUCACACGGCCCCUCCAGUGACGUUUAUGGCCUCUAGAACAGCCAGAGGUGACACUUAUAUUGCCAGGAGUGGAUGGAUGGUGUUCAUCCCAAAGAGCAGAAUCGUGGGACGGAAAUCACCUUUCAUCCUCACACCGCAGAACCCUCCCCCAAAAAGCAAGCAAGCAAGCAAACAAACAAAAAACCCAACAUCAAAAGCUGUCACCCCCAAGCUCUGCUGGUCCAGAUGUUGCACAAAGUUCAUGGAAAGUGUGAGCAGCGACAAAGCAGCAUCAAGCAAUUGCCUCCUGGCUAGCGUUCUCGGCAAACUCUCAUGACUAUUGACUCAAAUGAGCAGCCCAGCAACAGGGAAAGAAACCAUUCGAUUCACAGAUUAUCAAGUGAAUCCCAAGACCAGCAUCACUGUGCUGACCAAGAGGAGCAGUCUGCAGCUUCCAGCUUUGCCCACCUUGCCCAGCCUGCAGUAUCAAUAACAAGGACAAAGGUGCUUGUAUUCAGAAAAAGUGAAUGCUGUUUAGUCCACACAAAGACAGAUGCGUCCUCAAAGAACAGCUACACUUCGUUGGAGAACUGACAUUGCCAGCUUUUGACACCAGGAUUUGGAAGUACUGGUGCUAAGAGGCUGGAUCCAAUUACUCUUGUGUCGCAUGAGGACCUGCUUUAACACUAGGGAACUGAUGUCGUGUUGCGGUGCCAGGUGACUUUGUGGGCUACCCGGCAGCCUGGACCACAGAAACACUCAGAGAUGGGCCAAGAAGAGCAACACUCACUGAUCGGAAUGUCUUUCCAAAUGUGGGUGUCAGACCAUCUAUCAGGGGACACCACAUCCAGUCAUAGAGAACUCCUUGCAGCAGCAGAAGGGGAUAAGAAAAACCUUCAGUUACCCAGAUGAUCUUUUCCUUCCAUUGAUCCUCUCUACCAAGUAGGAAGGACAACUGAAAUUCUACUGGGUUAGGAUGGAUAGCCUCCAUUGUGCUACUCUGGACAUGCCCACACUGCUGACCAGGAAGAGAAAGCACAGGCAUUUACAUCAUUCCAUCGUAUAAAACCACAUCCUCUUGGCUGUCUGUUUUACACACAUCAGUCAGGGAAAGACACUCUGGAUGCAGGUCUUACCUAAUGUGCCAGACUAUGAACCAAGAGGACCUUGGUCUGAGUCUCUUUGACAUCAGGGGAAUGGCUUGUUCUAACCUUGGAUUCAUCCAAAGUCUCUAAAAGGAGUUAUUUAAGUGAAGGUAGGCGAAGAAACAAAGGGCACCUGCUUUUCCAUAUAUGUGUGGAUCCACAGACAAAAGAGGGAGGGGCAUGUGGCUGGACGGAAAUGAAUUCCCCUGUCUGACUUGAAAUCAAACUGGAAUCCACUGCUAUUUGGUAAAAUAUUUUGAGCGAAUUUUUAAAAAGGGUUGGAUUAGUUCAUUGCUAUUUGUUGUGGAUACUCUCAAAUAAAUGGAUAAAUAUGUGACUAUUUAAGAAGAAUCCUCUUUUCCAGCUUCAAAACUAUACAACUGAGAACAAAGUUUGGCUAUCUCAAAGUAAUCAAACCUAGUGCUUGAUGCUGCACUGCAACCUUUUUGCCUGAAGAGGCCAGGAAGGAAGUAUUUUCCCACACGAAUGGGUAACCUCAGUUUCAUUUUUCAGCAGCUGUUCUUGAAGUACUUGUUCGUUACCACUGGAGACACAGUGUGCCACAGCCCAGUUCUCUGUGCCAGAGAUUUACAAGUUAGGAGAAAUGUUUCACACUCAAGAGAAGAGGGAACAGUCAACCCCUUCCAUUCAUAAGGUGUAGCUUUGUCAUAUCAUAAGAUGUCUGUUUGGUCUCCAGCUUUUGCCCCGCUUACACUUUCAUUCAUUCAGGUGUAAUUGUUAAGGCAAGCCCUCUGUCUGGGUUUUACUUGUUAAAACCCGGGUGAACACAGAAGCAAAGCAUGGCAUUGGUAAUGAUGGCUCUCCUGUGUGUGUUGGUACAAAACUCCGUAAGUACACCUCUGCUUAAUGAGAAACCAAAGGUGUUCUGGUGUUCUGACAAGCGAGAACAAAUAAUAAUAAUAAAAAAAAGUUGCUAUCCUGUCAAAUACUGUGUGUAUAUCAAGGAUCUGGAAUACAAAGCAGACUUAACAGCAAUCACAUUUUGAGUAGAAUUCAGUUGAAUGUAACACCUUCUCCCUCUAAGGUUUUGAAUGUGGUAUCUUAAAGAAGAUCACACAAAUUACUCAUUCCGGGAACAAAGGCUCUUUUUUGAAAGCUGUCAGCUUGCUGACAGUUAUGAUGAGCAUUUACUUCAGGCUUGUAAAACAUAUUAAUCAAACUUGUUCCUAUAGCUUCAGUCCAAGGAGGGUUACUGUUUCUUUUAGAGAAAUGUUUUACAUAAGCGAAGAGCUCUGAAUACAUAUACACCUUGAAUGCAAACCACUUUCUAUGCCAUUCAUUUAUUCAUAAUGAAUAAAUACUAGUCUACACCAGGAUUAAGGAGAAUUGAAGCAGUGUAUGGAAAUCUGUUUAUUACAAGACUAUUUGCCAAAGACCUAUGCACCAUUCAUUGAACCCUGAAAAACAUUUGAAAAUAUGGGUUGCAUUUGCAAACUUCAAUGUAUGACAUGGAGAGCUGGCAAACUGCCUGGUUUCUACUUAAAGGAUUGUCAUUCUGGGAAAAAUAAAUUUCUCUAACUAGACAAAAGUCAAUGUUUUCAUGUUUUACUGCAAUCAAACUGAUAUGGCUGACAAUUUAAUGUCUCAACACUUAAAAUAUCUGUGGAUAAUCAGUUAUCUCAAUCAAUCAUAUCUACAAGAUUUCUCUAUUUUCAAAGCCUGUAUACAUAUGACAGAGAUAUCUAACAGUUUAUAGAAACCUUCCUAUCCUUAAUACCUCAUGAUUUCUCUUCAACUAUGCAAUUCUUUUCUUUUCUUUCUUUCUUUCUUUCUUUUUUUCUCCAUAUGCAAGAAUUUAUAAUUGCUGGGAAAAAAAAAAUCCAAUCCUGCACUGUAAUCAGAUUUUGAAACCUUUGUGUUAAUGUCCUGUUUUAUUUAAUUUUAUGUAUAUUUUAUAGUCUGCUUGCCUGUCAGAAAGAUGUGGAAAUGUGCUGGCAUUCCAGCUGAAGACAUCAUUAUGAGUGAGAAAAUGCUCAAGGCUUUUUCAAAGUGGGUGCUGAAACAUACGUUUCUCUUCUUUGACUCCAGGGGAUGCUAACAGCUGCCCCAGCAGACAGGUACCGCAAGGUCAAAGGCUAGCAGAGCUGUGCACCUCCAGGAUUUGACUGCCAGCAAAGUAGAUGGGUAGUUUCUCAAAACUAAUAAUAAAAAUAGCAACAAUGAUGAGAAGAAGAAGGAACUGACAACAAAAAUGAAAAGAAACCUGCAGGAAGUGAAUUCUGGGUAGCACAACGCUUGGCAGAGCUGAUUUUAAUAUCUGACAGGUUGAGUUCACUAAUCUUUGCUAUUCAUAUUGACGUGAAACUUCAUACAGUUUUAGAGAUUUGUAUCUAUUAAGACAUGCAGCAGUGUUUCUACAACAUGGGAACAAGUUUGCUAGCGCCUACUGUUCUUCUUCUUCCCUGAUAGAAAUUGAUAUGAACUGUUUUAAAUGCCUAACAGAUAAUUACUCUGAACACUCAAUAAAGAAAACUGCAUCUUUAGGGCCUCCUUUAUCUUUAAAAAAUAAUUAAAAAAAACCAAGCCCCAGACCCACCACCAAGACAAAACAACAUUCUUCCCUCCGUCUCCCCCCCCCCACCUUUUGUUUCUUUGAUUACUUGGAGCCUUGUAAUCAAACUAAGCUUAGUUUCAGGACCCUUGGGGCAGUAUCUCUUAGUUCCCUGUCAGACUGCGUUGCAAAACAAUCAAUCUUGCUCUUGCACUCACUUGGCGGAAGUGCCGCGACACGAAGAGCGCCGUGCUUUGCUCUUGCUGUGAAGCUACGAUGACAAAAGUUUUUAUCAGAAGCUGACUGUAUUUAGGGUUAUGAAUAUGCAAUGACUCUCAUUAGUAUUGAAGCGCAGGAGCACAGGCUGACAUCCCCCGCCACUUUUAGCUGCUGCAGAAUCGUCUAAUGAAUUGUCUUGCUCUUUCACUUGCACAGGCGCUGCUGUUAUGGCUCCCUGUUCCAAGGGGAGUUGCCCAGUUUGAGAAUACUGUUGACUGCAGAAAUUAAUUGCCAGGAACUGCUCUUGAUUUUGUUAAACAAUGUUGAGACAGUGUUUAAAUUGCCAGAACAGAAAACCAUUAAGCUCUGCACAAGACAGAGCCAUCAUGAGUGAAGGAACCUGCAUGUCCAUGUGCCAGGUGUGCCACGGGUUUGCGCGCAGUAUUGUGGUCAUAGCUGCACACGUGAGGAUAUCUCUGUGCCAGUGGAGGGUCUCAGAGACCUGGCUUCACAUUGAUUCAUUUACUGUUCUCCCAGAACAAUUUGUUCUCCUAGAACAAAUGGGGAUAAGACGGCAUUCUCCAAAUGAGCAGGAUUCCAAUACAUUGCUGUUUGAUCAACCUGUUAAUACUCUCCUUUUCCUCUGAGACUCUGCCAAACAUUUUUCAGUUCACACAUCUGCAAUCUUUUUAUGAAUAAAGCACUGAUAAGAAUGGUGCCAACAAAUGAUUAAGAUAUCUGGCUUGAUUUGUAGUAUUUGAGGAGAUGUGAAAGCUUUCAGAAACAAGUGGAAAUGCCCCUUUUUCCCAAUUGGUUAAAUUAAUUUUUUUUUUUCCUAUUCAUCUGAAAUUUCUCCUGACAUAAAAAGAGCUUUUGUGGCUCUCUGCAGAUUAUGAAGGAUGGAGUGAAUUGGAACAGAUAAUAUAUUCCAAGAAGCGUAAGUAGCAUUCUGAAAGGUGUGCGCAUACUGCAAAUAAUGAAGGAUAUGAGGUUCUCCCAAGAAGAUGUCAGCCCUGUGCAGCUCUUUAUCCAUUCAAUCAGUAAUGGAAAUGGUCCCAGUGCAAGCAGGAGGAUGUGUAUAAUUUUUACUGUGAUUUUUGGCACUGCUGCUCUAAAGUGAGCUUGGGUUACCUCUUGACCCAACCCCAGGAGUGCCUGUUCUCGUCAGCUGGAGAAAAAAUAAACAUAAAAAAACAUCUACAUGUUGGGAGUAUCAAAUACAAGAGCAGUUUAAAAUAAAUGCAGUUCUGACAAAAGUGGCUCAAGUAUCAUACAUCAAACACUUGUUACCUCUCUUGGCCUUAGUGACUGCACGUGACUAAGAAAGAGUGAGUGAUAAAAUCCGAAGAAAGAUGAAACCAAUCUGGGCCUUUUUAAAGAUCAUCAAUCAUUCUGCGCAGCCAUGAUAUUAUUAGUUCCAGUAAGCCUUGUUCUCCCAUUUUAUGGACAUCAUAAACCCCCCACCCCUCUACCAAUGCUACCAUGGGAAAUCAUUUUUAUGGGCAGCAUCUUAGCAUGGGCCAAUCAGAUCUAAUCACAUAACAAGCUACUGAAUUAUUCAACGUUCUCCCUAAUUCUGCAUUCUUCCUGCACUUUGCUGUCACUGCAGGGUUUUAAAAGUAUGUGUUUUUACAAUAUUUAUUAAGAAGAUAACCGUACACAGGAAUUUUGCUUUCUCGAUGUCUUUCAAUAAUUGCUUGUUCCCUUAGAUGGUUGUACUAUAUACACUACUGUAUAGAGAACAUUUUCUCAGAAAAGAACAGCUAUUCAUAAUGUGGCAUUCGGCUCUAAACUCUUUCGGCUUUUAAAAUACUGAGCGUAAGGACAAUAGCGAAACAAUUGUGUUCAAACAUAAAAUAUUCAGAUUUACAGAGCAAACUGUAACCAGCAUGUCUCUUAGCUGUUGCUGUGAAUACAGGGCUCACAUUGUAUAUGAAAAUAUUUCAGUUUUAAUUGCAAAUCUGUGCAGAGAUGAUUUGGGGUCUGUAAUUAGCACAUAAAUUCCAGACUUUGUGACUGCUGUGAAAACACACAUUAUUUAUGGAACGAUUAUCUAAACAUAAUUCAGUGUUUUUUUUGCUUUCAACAACUACUGUAAAAGUCUGAUUUAAUAAAAUGUGAAAAAUUUUACAUCUCUUAC
Molecule: long non-coding RNA, 6995 nt
Organism: Gallus gallus (chicken)
Lineage: Eukaryota; Metazoa; Chordata; Aves; Galliformes; Phasianidae
Source: Ensembl